GUUGACUGUGGCAGAAAAGUGACUGUUAUUUACGACCUAACAUAAUGUUUUAAUAGACUAAACUAGCAAAGGCGAAUUAAAAUGCAGUUUGUGGACGUGUCUUGGGGAACAAAAGUCCUGCAGGGUCAGAGAACCAGCUGAGGUUAUCAGCGAUGAUGUGAUGAUUCUUACAUCCUGGACAUGUCACUAUCACUACACCUUUGUGAUAUGCCAACUUGGAUAUCUUCUGCAUGGAUCUAGUAGAGCAAACCUGCAAACGUGAUACAACCUGCAUCGUCACUUCUGAUACUCGGUGAAGUUGAGACUCCUCUACAGAGGCCAGCUCCACCUCUGUCAUUAGGUGACAAAUAACGAUAUCUACGCUGGUCCUGCAAGGAGAGGAACCCCGUCCCAGCUGUGGUCG
This is a long non-coding RNA of Toxotes jaculatrix (banded archerfish), 403 nucleotides long. RefSeq lists it as uncharacterized. The transcript has 3 exons. NCBI's taxonomy places the organism in Eukaryota, Metazoa, Chordata, Actinopteri, Toxotidae. The record is from RefSeq and is a predicted model, not a curated record.